CUCCACACUUCUCACUUUUUCUUGAUCUCCCUUUUCGCGUUCUUCAUCUUGACCCUUGCUGCUUUACUUAAAUCCAGCGACCAUCAACACCGGCGCACCGCCGUCAAACAACGAAACCGCCAUCAACGAUCAACCCCACAAAUACAUACAAUCAUCAAACACCAACAAUACAAUCAUACACACGGUACAUAUAUUUAAUCGAGUUUGAAUCGAUUUCUCGAAAAUCUGAAACCCGAUUCAUUUUACGGACUGAGAGAGAGCGAGGAGAGAGAGGCAAAGAAAAAGAGUGAAGAGAGGGAGCGGGGAGAGAGUGAAGAGAGGGAACGGGGAGAGGGAGAGAGUGAAGAGAGGAAAUGAUGAGAGAG
This 365-nucleotide long non-coding RNA is filed under the name Daucus carota (carrot). RNAcentral describes it as "long non-coding RNA (DCAR_LNC003750)". Lineage: Eukaryota; Viridiplantae; Streptophyta; Magnoliopsida; Apiales; Apiaceae. The record is from RNAcentral.